This is a long non-coding RNA of Helianthus annuus (common sunflower), 1597 nucleotides long. RefSeq lists it as uncharacterized. The transcript has 2 exons. Lineage: Eukaryota; Viridiplantae; Streptophyta; Magnoliopsida; Asterales; Asteraceae. The record is from RefSeq and is a predicted model, not a curated record.
CACCCAAGUGUGUGUUCUGGUCGUGAGUUCUAACAGGAGAAAAAGGGGUUUCUCUAAUGAACCCUAAAAUGCACAAAAUCAACCAAAUCAAGAAGGCAAAUCAAGUCUAAAUCGAAAACCAAGCUAGGAUUAGUGAUCACUCGGGCUAGAGGAUCACAAGUUUGACUCUGACAAGCUAGGUAGGAGUUUGGAAAUGAACGGGUCAAAUAGAUACAAGUUCAAGUAUGAGGCUCGCAAGGAUGCAAGGUAAGUAAAGCUUACACCUUUAUCGUAAGAUAUGUAUUUAUUUAUAGAUUAUAAAUACGACAAGGUUAUAUUCAAAAUAUGAUUUUGACACGAAAAGAUACGGGUCGGAACGUAUCAAAAGACGAAAAACCAUGUUUAAUGGUAAAAAUGGGUGAAAUGGUAAUUUGGUAAUGGGAUGACAUAAAUAAAAAUGAGUUUUUGUAUGGCUACUUUCUAAGUAGGUUUAAACGAAUAAAAAGGGUAAAACGGUGAUCUAGUCAAAUAUAAGCGCAAAAUGUUCGGUCGUUUAGACCAAACGGGUCAAAUGGUAAUGUUGAUACCAUUUAACAAUUAACGACUAAUAAGUGUUUGUGGAGUUUUAUGCACACAUGAUAAAUCGGCUUAUGAAUUAGCGAUGCUAUGAAUUAGCGAUUAUUGAGACAAGGUAUCAAAACGGGCCAAUAUGUUGAUCCGAACCAGGUACGCAUAUUGUGAGUUAUAGAUAAGUAUACAGUAGAUUGUGCAUAACCAAGGGGAAAGAUUUAAACUUAAAAGGUUUAAAUCUUCGAAGUAGGUCAAAAAAAUUAUGCGCAUAGAUUGGGUACUAGCCGCGUAAUUCAUAAAAGUUUCAAACCCGAAUUAAAGAUUUUGAGAUAAACAUGUUGAUGUAUGCUUAAUGGUUAAUUAGAAACAAGUUUGUGGUUUAAAAACUUGAACAGGUCAAAAGUCUUUAAAAAUGAAUUUUAAAGCCAAGGGCUAGAAGCCUAUUAAUUUGUGAAUUCAGAUGUUAAGUUUGAAAGCUACCGUAAGUUACGGUAGCCACCGUAACUUACGGUAGCGAAUAAAUUGUUAAGGCAGUUUUCUAUUGCCUUACGGCAGACCAGUUUUGCCCAGUGGCUACCGUAACUUCCGGUGGCUACCGUAACUUACGGUAGAGCCCAGUCACUUUUGCUGAAUUUUGCAUAUCAUAGUUAAUCGAACCCGUUUUUGAGCAUAGUUUCGAUUACGGCACGCGACAGGUGUAAAACCUGCAAAUCCUUGUUAUUUUAAUUGUUUGGCUCAUGGGACUUGUGUUAACUUGUAAAUUCAAAACUAACUUUUUUUUGUUGGUUUUGAUUCUAGGUGAAUGUUAUAUGCUUCCGCAUGAGGAUCAAGCCACGAGCAAGAACCGAACACACCUCUCAAUGAAGCUUCCGCAUUCGAUCUUGUUUUGUUUUAAUAAAAGUGGAUUAUGUAAACACUUUUAGCGAUGUUUUGGAUGUUGUAAACAUGUUUAAAUACUUAUGAUGUAAAAGUUUUUGUUAAGUGGCAUUUUUCAUAUAAAAUGCUUACGUUAAUGUUAUGUAAAUGAUAAAAAUUAUUAUGGGUGUUA